AGUCGGCCAAUUGGUGCCAAAGAGGGACAGAACUUUCUUUAUGUAUGCCACAACAGCAGCAAGAAUACUCAUUGCAAAGUAUUGGAAGACACAAGAUCUACCCACCUUGGAAGAAUGGCAGAUGAAGGUGAUGGACUAUAUGGAAUUGGCGGAAAUGACUGGCAGAAUCCGAGACCAGGGAGAAGAGUCGAUGGAGGAAGAUUGGAAAAAGUUUAAAGACUAUCUACAGAAAUAUUGUAAAAUUAAUGAAUGCUAGAAUGAUGUUGGAUAGAAACUAAGUGAACUUUAGCUGAAAGGUUACAAGGAAUAUGAAAAAAUGAAUUAUUAAUAUGUAAAAAUCUAAAACUACAAUACUUUAUGAUUAAUGAUUAGGAUACAUAAAGAGGGGAGGGAUUUGCUGAACGAAAUAAUUGAACUGGAAUGCAAAAAAGGGAGGUGUGAGGAGGUCCUGGAACUAAGCAAAUGAAGGUCAAGUAAUGGAAGGAAUGAAUUGUUUUUAAAUAUUUUUACUUUGUAUUUUCUUUUUGUGUGUGUGUGUUUUGUAAUAUUUUGAAAACUUCAAUAAAUAUCUUAUA
This 575-nucleotide long non-coding RNA is filed under the name Podarcis lilfordi (Lilford's wall lizard). The record is from RNAcentral. Lineage: Eukaryota; Metazoa; Chordata; Lepidosauria; Squamata; Lacertidae.